AGAUUGAACGCUAGCGGCAUGCCCAACACAUGCAAGUCGAACGGUAACAGGCCCUUCGGGGUGCUGACGAGCGGCGAACGGGUGAGUAAUGCUUCGGAAUCUACCCACGGGUGGGGAAUAACCAACCGAAAGGUUGGCUAAUACCGCAUAAGUCCUACGGGGGAAAGCGGGGGACCGAAAGGCCUCGCGCAGCAGGAUGAGCCGAUGUCCGAUUAGCUGGUUGGUGGGGUAACGGCCUACCAAGGCUACGAUCGGUAGCUGGUCUGAGAGGACGACCAGCCACACUGGGACUGAGACACGGCCCAGACUCCUACGGGAGGCAGC
RNAcentral lists this ribosomal RNA (324 nucleotides) under uncultured prokaryote. RNAcentral describes it as "bacterial SSU rRNA". It matches the Rfam family "Bacterial small subunit ribosomal RNA", at positions 26 to 352 of the family's 1533-position model. The record is from RNAcentral.